GUGGAAUUAGAUAUAUAACCAGAAGAGUCAGCAGGGAAGAUGGCCCAUCUAAUGAAGAAAUCAGUUUCCCCUGAUGUAAAGUUCAGCACAUGGACCUGUGAGACAUUAACCUCAAGUUCAUUGGCAAUAAAUUCUGCAAGCUCAGUGAUGUUAAGUUUCACGGAGGAUUUGUUGACAUGAAGCAUCAUAUUAAAUGUUAUGACUCCAACCUGAAAUUCACCAGAAAGAAAUGGCACAGUUGGAGAACCAGGUGGAGGAAUUUCUUUACUUGUAUUCUGACCAAAGGAAGGUAAAGGGGCUGGAGGAGGAGCAGGAGAAAGAUAAUGCAGAUUCUUCCAAAGUUCAGAACAGUUUGUCUUCCAAAACCCAAUUGUGGUGUUCUCUCGAUCAUAAGUGACAAGAGUAUUACGAACAAUAAUUCCUCCCAAAAGUGUUGUCUGAUCAUUCCCAUUUUUAAAGAUCCCCAGACAAUAUGCA
RNAcentral lists this unclassified non-coding RNA (477 nucleotides) under Hevea brasiliensis (rubber tree). The record is from RNAcentral. Lineage: Eukaryota; Viridiplantae; Streptophyta; Magnoliopsida; Malpighiales; Euphorbiaceae.